UACGUAGGGUGCGAGCGUUAAUCGGAAUUGCUGGGCGUAAAGCGUGCGCAGGCGGUUCUCCAAGUCCGUUGUGAAAGCCCCGGGCUCAACCUGGGAAUGGCAGUGGAAACUAGGGGACUGGAAUCUGGCAGAGGGGGGUGGAAUGCCGCGUGUAGCAGUGAAAUGCGUAGAGAUGCGGCGGAACACCGAUGGCUAAGGCAGCCCCCUGGGCUGAGAUUGACGCUCAGGCACGAAAGCGUGGUGAGCAAACAGG
This 253-nucleotide ribosomal RNA is filed under the name uncultured bacterium. Its description in RNAcentral is "partial 16S ribosomal RNA". It matches the Rfam family "Bacterial small subunit ribosomal RNA", at positions 524 to 776 of the family's 1533-position model. The record is from RNAcentral.